Neofelis nebulosa (Clouded leopard) is the source of this 697-nucleotide RNA transcript. It is a transcript of the gene named NADH:ubiquinone oxidoreductase complex assembly factor 8, with no coding region annotated. The transcript is spliced from 5 exons. The record is from RefSeq and is a predicted model, not a curated record. Lineage: Eukaryota; Metazoa; Chordata; Mammalia; Carnivora; Felidae.
AGCCUAGCCAAACAGAAAGCGCAGGGAAGGCGAUGGGCGGAAGGUGCGCCUAUCGAGAAGCUGGGCGCCGGAAAAGCACGGGCCUAAGAUGGCGGCGCCCAUGGGUGCCAGGAGGAGCCGCUCAUGUCGGGGAACGGAGCGGUGUGGGGACGCGUGCGAGGCCGCCUCCGCGCCUUCCCCGAGCGCCUUGCGGCCUGUAGGGCCGAGGCCGCGGCUUAUGGCAGGUGUGUGCAGGCGUCCACGGCCCCGGGCGGCCGCCUGACGAAGGACCUCUGUGUGCAGGAGUUCGAGGCCCUGCGGAGCUGCUUCGCCGCCGCGGCCUCCCCAGGGGACAAGAUGAAGCUUCGCUGUGUGAUUACUGGUUGGAAGAAUUUAAGUGCAAGAUGAAGAUCAAACGUUGUGCGUGCUGCCCUCAGGAGCCCUCUGCUAUUUUAAUGUGCCAUUCUUCACGGAAGGCCAAGACGACCCCAAGGGGAGGCCUUUAGGAUGGACAAGCCUGCACUACAUUUGUGUUUGCUGCCCACAGCCUUGAGGGACAGACGCCUGAGACAUCUAAAGCUUUUAGAGCUAAAAGGACUGCACGCUCAUCAGAGCAAGACGUGGGCAGACGGGGGAUCUGGUUUUCUUGCCUCGUGUAUGUAAGGUUUCUGGUUAGAGUAAGAAACGACAAAGCAACAAUACAGACUGUGGCAGACCA